This 253-nucleotide ribosomal RNA is filed under the name uncultured bacterium. RNAcentral describes it as "partial 16S ribosomal RNA". It matches the Rfam family "Bacterial small subunit ribosomal RNA", at positions 524 to 776 of the family's 1533-position model. The record is from RNAcentral.
UACGGGGGGGGCAAGCGUUGUUCGGAAUUACUGGGCGUAAAGGGCUCGUAGGCGGCCAACUAAGUCAGACGUGAAAUCCCUCGGCUUAACCGGGGAACUGCGUCUGAUACUGGAUGGCUUGAGUUUGGGAGAGGGAUGCGGAAUUCCAGGUGUAGCGGUGAAAUGCGUAGAUAUCGAGAGGAACACCGGUGGCGAAGGCGGGUCUCUGGGCAGUAACUGACGCUGAGGAGCGAAAGCGUGGGGAGCGAACAGG